Molecule: ribosomal RNA, 497 nt
Filed under: uncultured bacterium
Lineage: Bacteria
Description: partial 16S ribosomal RNA
Rfam family: Bacterial small subunit ribosomal RNA
Source: RNAcentral
GAUGAACGCUGGCGGCGUGCUUAACACAUGCAAGUCGAGCGGACGGACGCGUAGCUUGCUGCUGUGAUGUUAGCGGCGGACAGGGGAGUAAUACGUGGAGAAUCUCCCUCUCCGUUUUGGAUAACAUCGGGAAGACGGAGCUACUACCAGAUGAUAUUCUGAGCCUCAUGGUUCAUGAGUCAAGGAAGGUCUUGCUUUCAGUGAGAGAUGGAUUCGCGCCGCAUUAGCUAGUUGGUAGGGUAACGGCCUACCAAGGCAACGAUGCAUAGCCGACCUGAGAGGGUGGUCGGCGACACUAGAGCGGAGGCGCGGCCCAGACUCCUACGAGAGGCAGCAGUAGGGAAGCUUACGGCAUGGGCGGAAGAAUGACGGAGCAGCGCCGCGGGAGGGGUGAUGGUGUUCGGAGCGUUGUGCUCUGUUAUUGGGGGUGAAGAUAUGUGUAAGCAUCUGUGCACAUGUUGACGGUAGCUAAAUAAAAAGCCCCGGCUAACUACGUG